UACGUAGGGUGCGAGCGUUGUCCGGAAUUAUUGGGCGUAAAGGGCUCGUAGGCGGUUUGUCACGUCGGGAGUGAAAACUCAGGGCUUAACCCUGAGCCUGCUUCCGAUACGGGCAGACUAGAGGUAUGCAGGGGAGAACGGAAUUCCUGGUGUAGCGGUGAAAUGCGUAGAUAUCGAGAGGAACACCUGCGGCGAAGGCGGGUUGCUGGGCUGACACUGACGCUGAGGCGCGAAAGCUAGGGGAGCGAACGGG
Molecule: ribosomal RNA, 253 nt
Filed under: uncultured bacterium
Lineage: Bacteria
Description: partial 16S ribosomal RNA
Rfam family: Bacterial small subunit ribosomal RNA
Source: RNAcentral